This is a long non-coding RNA of Hemicordylus capensis (graceful crag lizard), 4481 nucleotides long. RefSeq lists it as uncharacterized. The transcript is spliced from 3 exons. The record is from RefSeq and is a predicted model, not a curated record. Lineage: Eukaryota; Metazoa; Chordata; Lepidosauria; Squamata; Cordylidae.
GGUGAGCAGUCUGAAGACGAUGUGGGUGGGGGUUGUGCUUAAAACUUUCUGCGUGCUCAUGUUGGUGUGUUUGCAAUAGGAGGCUGAAACGGGGGUUGGGGAGGAAGGUGGGGGAUGUUUAAAGUCAUUUCUCUCCCUUGCUUUCCACCACCCCAUCUUUGUGCCCCUCUGCCCCUCAGACUGACUUGGAUUAGUUUAAAAUGCUUCAAAUUAGUUUAUUUUUACAACAAUGACCUUAUCCCAGCAGCUGCUUGCAAGUUUACUGACCAGCAAAAACUCUUUGCUCUCUCCUCCUCGUGGCUUGUUUUGUUCCCAUCCAAUUAUUCAGUUUGUUUGCUGCUCUCUUUAUUUACACUGCAGCUUUUUCAACCUCUCUGUAGAAUAUUUUCCCCAGUGCCUUCAUUACUCUCAGCUCCCAUCAAGUCAUCUUCAGAGAGGGAGAAAAAGCUUGAGACAUUUCCUCUUGCUCUCCUUUCUCUGAAACACCGAGAACUGCCCCCACACCGCCCUGGAUAGUGAAGUUUAUGGGAUCUCCUUUCCUGCAGGUAGCUGGAGAAUCUGAGGAGCAUCUGCUAAGGAAGGUUUAGAGGGGGAGGAGGCAUUCCCCUGUGACGCCUUAAGCAGCCUCCAGCAGGGUAAAAGGGGAGGGAGACCGUCGCCCUUCCCACCAUGUAUAAAGCGUGCUGCUCCCCCCCCCCCCACCGCCACCAUGAGAGCUGAACAUUUAAAGAGCCAUGAGGAUCUUGGGGGGGGGGCCAUUUUAAAAUCUUGUCUCUGGGCCCACUCCAACCUUGCUACGCCCCUGCCCCAAGGGGAUUGGCCAGUUGAGUGAUAUACAAAUUGAAUGAAUGAAUGCUAUUUUAUAUCGCAGAAGUGGUGGGAUUAAAAUGUUUUAACUAAAUAAGACAUAGCAUUCUAAAUGCAUUCAGAUUUGAGGAGCUAGAUGUUUUUUCUUCCUGUCCAAUGGAAUGCUCUGACAUGGCCGAGGCAAUCUGUACCCUUAAUAUGUCACUUGAAGGCCUAUGGCAAUAGAAAAAGGGAUGUACUGGUACACAGAAAACUCCUUGACCUUGAGAUUCUGGUCCUAAGGUUUCCUUAUUCUCCCUAAGGACUCAAGCAGCCUUUGUGACAUCAGAACAGCUGAGUCAAUUGAUGUCUAAAGGACCAUGACAUCAGAGAAUCAUGCAAUAAUAAACAUAGGCCCACCUUGUCCUCAGAAUAGAUCGAAAUGGCAGCACACAGCAGCUGGCAGAGAGAUUAGAGGCCCAGAGCUGUGUGAUUAUUCACUGAUUUAAAAGUGUGUUUAGGAUUAGAGCAUAAUGUAGUUUAAAUCCAGGAGGUCAAGAGCAAAGGACAGCCGAUAAGGAGGUUCAAUGUGCUGUAUUUACCCAAAUCGAAGAUGACUCUGAAUUUAAGAUGACCCCCGUAAGAAGCAGAGGUUUAAAUACAGGUCAUAUCUGCAUUAACUUGAAAGGAAUAGGACUCUGAAUUUAUGAUGACCUUCUGAUUUCAAAUAUCGAAAAACCUGGCAAAAACCUAGUCUUGGAUUCAGGUAAAUACAGUACUCGGUGUCCUUUCUAUUAAUGGGCCUUAAAUAACUCAAUGAAGCUAUUUUCCCAAGCAGCCUAACCCAGGCUAGGGCCACCCAGCCUGGGUUAGGCUGCUCAUGUGGAGCACCAGGAUGCUCCCGAUCCCAGUCACUACCUAGCAUGCCCUUAAUCCCAGUGCCAGGGCCAUGUGUAUGCCUGGGCUGUAUGGACACAGACUGAGCAUACAGCGAGCCGGGCAGCUAGACCGCCCAGCUGAGGGAGGACCCCUCAAUGCACCACGCUCCUGGAUGCUGGAGGGAUGCCAGAGGACUUCCUCCUCCGGCUCCCUGCUCUGCCACUCACCACGAUGCUGCUCAUGUUUAACGCUGUCCCAUGUCCUGGGCUCAACCCAGUUUACUCAAAAGUAAAUCUCAUUUAUUUACUUUGAAUUUAAUUCCAGGUGACUAUAUUUAGGAUUGCUUGCAACCUCAAAGAUUCAGUGUGCGCAUCCCUCCUGCAAGUACAAACUCUAGGAGGGCUACUAAUAGGAAUGAGGGUCAGCAGCAGGAAACUCCCAUGCAUUGCGCAGCAUGUACAAUGCAAGAGAGGAUGGGAGAUGUGCACUGUUCUCUCUAGGGCAUGUGCAUGUGUGUAUGCUCACACAUUUCCUGAUGUCUGCUCAGUUCAUUUUAGAUCCCACUCAGGUUGAAUCAGGAAGGCCCCAUUCUGAAUGCAUGUGCGUGCACACUGCCUUGAUACUGCCACCCAGGAAAAAACUCAUUCCGCACACAGAUGGGGAAAAAAUAGAGAGAACACUAGAGGUGUGGCAGGGGGUAUUAAUGCAAAAGUUAUCAUCUCAAGUUCACAUAUUGUUUAUUUAACAACACAGCAGUUGGUCACAUUUCAAAUUCAAGAGGAGCUCCUGGUUUAUAGUUUUUAAUGUAAUGUGGUGACCACCAGUUCUUGGCAACUGAGAUUUUGUUUUAGUGUAAUAUAAUAUAAUAUAAUAUAAUAUAAUAUAAUAUAAUAUAAUAUAAUAUAAUAUAAUAUAAUAUGAUAUAAUAUGCAGUGAUAUUUAUAUAUAGUAUUUCAGGAGUACUAUGUAUUAGUAAAAAGUGUAUUAGCCUUGUUUAAAAUAAAUUAAAGUAAAUUAGAGAUGAGAAAUAACUAAAGUUUUAGAAGUCCAAAAGGAGUAACAUGUUUACUUUUUAUCACUUUUAUCCCCAUUUUUUUGUGCAUGCUGACAAUGUCUCAAGAAAAAAAAACCCCACCAAAAUGAUUGAAAAGACUGCACAAAACAAUUCCAAAGUGCUUCAGGCACCCUCCAUUUCCCAGAUGUCAAUUGAUGAAGCUGGAAGUUUAAGCUGGGGCUGAGGGCUGAAUCUGUGGCUGGGACUGGAGUCUAUGCAUCAAGCAGAUGCUCCUGUUCUGUUGACCAGUCAAAAGAAUAAUUUCCCGUAUGGUGAUGCUGGCUGGUUGAAUUCUGAGGAAACGUCAGAAAACAGAAAAUAUGUAACAGACAUGGCCUACAUAUCAACAACUGCUUGUUCCCCAAGGUGCAAAAUAUGAACUUUAAAAACUAGAUUUUUUGUAGGAUUGGAAUAUUUCUUCUUGGUUCCAGUAUCACCAGAUUAGCGCCUUAUUCAAGCAAGAUUAUAAAAAGGGUCUUAAUCAAUCAAAGUCAGAAUUUGAACAACAGUUGUGUGACAAGGAAGACAAACUAGUUUCUAAGAUGUAUGAUCUGUUAUUAUUGGAAGAUACAAGAACAGAAGUAGUGAAAACUUCAAUGAUUAAAUGGGCUCAGGAUUUUGGUUACAAUAUAGACUUGGAGAAAUGGGAAGAACUGUGGAUAGAAGAAAUGAAAUAUACUGCCUGUUCUAAUUUAAAGGAAAAUAAUCUUAAGAUGAUGUACAGAUGGCAUCUAACUCCUAAGAAGUUGGCUUUAAUGUACAAGAAUAUGUCAAACAAAUGUUGGAAGUAUAAAAAAGAGGAGGGUUCCUAUAUACAUUUAUAGUGGACGUAAUAAGUCUAAAGGCUAUCAGGAUUUAAUAUACAAUGAGCUUAAGAAAGUGUUUAAAAUGACUUUCCCUAAGAGCCCAGAAACAAUACUAUUAGGCACUGAUAAUAGCACAUUGCCUAGAAAAUACUGGAUCCUCUUUAUGUAUCUGACAGCAGCAGCAAGAUUGACAUUUGCAUACAAAUGGAAAGACAUCCAUUGCCCGAGUAAAGAGGAUUGGAUACUUAUUGUUGGCAGAAAUGGCAAAGCUAGCAGCAUUAUUAAGAAAUAAAUUUGAAGCAUUUAAAAGGGAGUGGGGCCCUCUUCUUAUUUACCUAAAAACAUAUUAUAAAAUGGUUUUCUAUCAGGCUUUUGAGUGGUAACAAAAAUGUUUUUAAAAUGCCCUAGAGCUGACUUUCGUACGAUUUAACGGGGGGAGAACGAUUAAAUUACAGGCAAGACUUGGGUAUUGUAACUGAUACUUGUUCUAAUGAUGAGAUGGAAGUCAUCUUGUCUUUGUGUGUGUGUGUGUGUGUGUGUGUGUGUGUGUUUUCUUUCUUUCUUUUUCUUUUUUCUUUUUUGUGUGCAUGUGUGUAUCUUAUGUUGUGAAAAAUUGAAUAAAAAGUUAUUUUUUAAAAAAAAAAUUAUGAGGAAACAUCCUAAAGUUUCACACACCGCUUGUCUGAAAAACUGCAAGUCCUUCAUCACAGCGCAAAAUGUGUGAAGUUCCACAGAUUCCAUUCUGUCAUUCAAGGACUUUUGUUUCCAGUGGCCCAGAAGAGAACAGAAAAGGGGCUAUCUAUUUGGGCUUUUCUUGCCUUGGUAUUGAUAUUAAUGCCAAAAUUUUUUUUAGUAAUUUGACAAUUAGUUCACCACUUAACAGAAAAGAAAUGAAAGGCAGAAAGUAGUUUAACUAGAUUAUAAUGUAGCUCUGACAAGUCAGGUUCCUGUCAUGU